GACGAACGCUGGCGGCGUGCUUAACACAUGCAAGUGGAGCGACGAACCCACCUUCGGGUGGGGGCAGAGCCGCGAACGGGUGAGUAACACGUGGGUUACCUGCCCCGAUGACCGGGACAACCCGUCGAAAGACGGGCUAAUACCGGAUGUGACCGAAAGGUGAAAGGAAGCUUCGGCCUCCGCAUCGGGAUGGGCCCGCGGCGCAUUAGCUUGUUGGUGAGGUAACGGCUCACCAAGGCGACGAUGCGUAGCUGGUCUGAGAGGACGAUCAGCCACACUGGGACUGAGACACGGCCCAGACUCCUACGGGAGGCAGCAGUGGGGAAUCUUGCGCAAUGCACGAAAGUGUGACGCAGCAACGCCGCGUGCGGGAAGACGGCCUUCGGGUUGUAAACCGCUUUCAGUUGGGACGAAGCUCUCGGGGUGAACAGCCUUGUGGAGUGACGGUACCUUCAGAAGAAGCCCCGGCUAACUACGUGCCAGCCGCCGCAGUAACAC
Molecule: ribosomal RNA, 498 nt
Filed under: uncultured bacterium
Lineage: Bacteria
Description: bacterial SSU rRNA
Rfam family: Bacterial small subunit ribosomal RNA
Source: RNAcentral